GAUGAACGCUAGCGAUAGGCUUAACACAUGCAAGUCGAGGGGCAGCGAGGGUAGCAAUACCUGUCGGCGACCGGCGCACGGGCGAGUAACGCGUAUGUAACCUGCCCGCAACAGGGGGAUAACCCGGCGAAAGUCGGACUAAUACCGCAUAAAACAGGGGUCCCGCAUGGGAAUAUUUGUUAAAGAUUUAUCGGUUGCGGAUGGGCAUGCGUACCAUUAGGUAGUUGGUGAGGUAACGGCUCACCAAGCCUUCGAUGGCUAGGGGUUCUGAGAGGAAGGUCCCCCACACUGGUACUGAGACACGGACCAGACUCCUACGGGAGGCAGCAGUGAGGAAUAUUGGUCAAUGGGCGAGAGCCUGAACCAGCCAAGUCGCGUGAAGGAUGACUGCCCUAUGGGUUGUAAACUUCUUUUACAAGGGAAUAAAAUGAGAUACGUGUAUUUUAUUGCAUGUACCUUGGGAAUAAGCAUCGGCUAACUCCGUG
RNAcentral lists this ribosomal RNA (485 nucleotides) under uncultured bacterium. RNAcentral describes it as "partial 16S ribosomal RNA". It matches the Rfam family "Bacterial small subunit ribosomal RNA", at positions 28 to 507 of the family's 1533-position model. The record is from RNAcentral.